AUAGCCUUAGUUUUCCAACAUCUCCCUCUUCUCGACAAACAUUAUUUUAAGCAAAUGCCAUGAAUUUCUAGUUGUUUUCUACUACAUGUGGCACAGAUGUUAUUACUUUCAGAAGAACCCUACAGGCUCUUUGAGAACCAGUCCUUUGGCUUGGGGUGACAUCAGGAAACUGAUGUCUUCUCUGCUGGUGGGGAAGCAUAAUCUUACUGUCUGGAAUAAUAAAGAAUCAUAGAGUCUUAAUCUUCAGGUAAGGCAUAAUUUACCUUUUAAUUGAGCUAAAGACUCGAUUAUAUACUUGGAGAAAGAUUGCUUGGUAUAAAGACUUUGUUUUGUCUUUUUUAGGGCAUUGGCCCUAAACUGCGAUGCUCCAUUGGAUGAUAAAAUUGGAGCAGAGUCUCGGAAUUGGAGAGCUGGUAAGCCAGUCAGAGUGAUACGCAGUUUUAAAGGGAGGAAGAUCAGCAAAUAUGCACCAGAAGAAGGCAACAGAUAUGAUGGCAUUUAUAAGGUAGUGAAAUAUUGGCCAGAGAUUUCAUCCAGCCAUGGCUUCUUGGUUUGGCGUUAUCUUUUAAGAAGAGAUGAUGUCGAACCUGCUCCUUGGACCUCAGAAGGAAUCGAACGAUCAAGGAGACUGUGUCUGCGAUUGCAGUAUCCAGCAGGCUACCCCUCAGAUAAGGAAGGGAAGAAAACCAAGGGGCAGUCAAAGAAGCAGACGAGCGAAGGCACCAAAAGGCCAG
RNAcentral lists this long non-coding RNA (734 nucleotides) under Rattus norvegicus (Norway rat). RNAcentral describes it as "long non-coding RNA NONRATT001666". The record is from RNAcentral. Lineage: Eukaryota; Metazoa; Chordata; Mammalia; Rodentia; Muridae.